UCGGGAAUUUUGGGCAAUGGGCGAAAGCCUGACCCAGCAACGCCGCGUGAAGGAUGAAGUAUUUCGGUAUGUAAACUUCGAAAGAAUAGGAAGAAUAAAUGACGGUACUAUUUAUAAGGUCCGGCUAACUACGUGCCAGCAGCCGCGGUAAUACGUAGGGACCAAGCGUUGUUCGGAUUUACUGGGCGUAAAGGGCGCGUAGGCGGCGCGGUAAGUCACUUGUGAAAUCUCUGAGCUUAACUCAGAACGGCCAAGUGAUACUGCAGUGCUAGAGUGCAGAAGGGGCAAUCGGAAUUCUUGGUGUAGCGGUGAAAUGCGUAGAUAUCAAGAGGAACACCUGAGGUGAAGACGGGUUGCUGGGCUGACACUGACGCUGAGGCGCGAAAGCUAGGGGGAGCAAACGGGAUUAGAUACCCUAGUAGUCCCUGAGCGGGCUGGCAAGGCGCAU
This 448-nucleotide ribosomal RNA is filed under the name uncultured bacterium. Its description in RNAcentral is "bacterial SSU rRNA". It matches the Rfam family "Bacterial small subunit ribosomal RNA", at positions 355 to 825 of the family's 1533-position model. The record is from RNAcentral.